GAUGAACGCUGACAGAAUGCUUAACACAUGCAAGUCGAUGGGGAAGUGGUGCUUGCACCAUGGCAACCAUGGCGGACGGGUGAGUAACGCGUAAGGGACUUACCUGCAGGACUGGGAUAACAGGGGGAAACUCCUGACAAGACCGGAUAAUGUCAUGGAGCUGCAUGGCUUUAUGAUGAAAGGAGACGCCUGCGGAGAGCCUUGCGUCCUAUUAGCUAGUUGGUGAGGUAAUGGCUCACCAAGGCGAAGAUAGGUAGCCGGCCUGAGAGGGUGGACGGCCACAAGGGGACUGAGAUACGGCCCUUACUCCUACGGGAGGCAGCAGUGGGGAAUAUUGGACAAGGGGGGCAACCCUGAUCCAGCAAUUCUGUGUGCACGAAGAAGGUUUUCGGAUUGUAAAGUGCUUUCAGCAGGGAAGAAGUAAGUGACGGUACCUGCAGAAGAAGCGACGGCUAAAUACGUG
This 463-nucleotide ribosomal RNA is filed under the name uncultured bacterium. Its description in RNAcentral is "partial 16S ribosomal RNA". It matches the Rfam family "Bacterial small subunit ribosomal RNA", at positions 28 to 507 of the family's 1533-position model. The record is from RNAcentral.